RNAcentral lists this unclassified non-coding RNA (281 nucleotides) under air metagenome. RNAcentral's name for it is "partial contains small subunit ribosomal RNA, internal transcribed spacer 1, and 5.8S ribosomal RNA". The stretch from base 1 to 46 matches the Rfam family "Eukaryotic small subunit ribosomal RNA", at positions 1786 to 1831 of the family's 1831-position model. The record is from RNAcentral.
AAGUCGUAACAAGGUUUCCGUAGGUGAACCUGCGGAAGGAUCAUUAACGUAUCUCCGAGGAGGGGUUCGGUCGCGUCCCGCUCCGGUCCAGACUGGGCCGUCGCAGCGGGCGUCCGUCCCCGACUCACAACCCACACAAACCCCACUGUGCUCCUUUACGGCCAGAGGGCGCCAACGGCGUCUGAAGCCGCAUUCAAUAGACUCCAGUUCAAAAGAAUGUGAAGCGGACUCUGAUCUGCCUACAAUUGAAACAACUUUCAACAACGGAUCUCUUGGCUCUC